GUGGGGAAUUUUGGACAAUGGGCGCAAGCCUGAUCCAGCAAUGCCGCGUGCAGGAAGAAGGCCUUCGGGUUGUAAACUGCUUUUGUACGGAACGAAAAGGCUCUGGUUAAUACCUGGGGCUCAUGACGGUACCGUAAGAAUAAGCACCGGCUAACUACGUGCCAGCAGCCGCGGUAAUACGUAGGGUGCAAGCGUUAAUCGGAAUUACUGGGCGUAAAGCGUGCGCAGGCGGUUUUGUAAGACAGACGUGAAAUCCCCGGGCUCAACCUGGGAAUGGCGUUUGUGACUGCAAAGCUGGAGUGCGGCAGAGGGGGAUGGAAUUCCGCGUGUAGCAGUGAAAUGCGUAGAUAUGCGGAGGAACAACGAUGGCGAAGGCAAUCCCCUGGGCCUGCACUGACGCUCAUGCACGAAAGCGUGGGGAGCAAACAGGAUUAGAUACCCUGGUAGUCC
RNAcentral lists this ribosomal RNA (450 nucleotides) under uncultured bacterium. Its description in RNAcentral is "partial 16S ribosomal RNA". It matches the Rfam family "Bacterial small subunit ribosomal RNA", at positions 354 to 796 of the family's 1533-position model. The record is from RNAcentral.